Molecule: ribosomal RNA, 393 nt
Filed under: uncultured bacterium
Lineage: Bacteria
Description: partial 16S ribosomal RNA
Rfam family: Bacterial small subunit ribosomal RNA
Source: RNAcentral
CCUACGGGUGGCAGCAGUGAGGAAUAUUGGUCAAUGGGCGCGAGCCUGAACCAGCCAAGUAGCGUGAAGGAAGACGGCCCUACGGGUUGUAAACCUCUUUUAUCAAGGAAUAAAGUGAGUCACGUGUGACUCUUUGUAUGUACUCUAUGAAUAAGGAUCGGCUAACUCCGUUCCAGCAGCCGCGGUAAUACGGAGGAUACGAGCGUUAUCCGGAUUUAUUGGGUUUAAAGGGUGCGCAGGAGGUUGUGCAAGUCAGUGUUAAAAUUUGCGGGCUCAACCUAAAACUGCCAUUGAAACUGGAAGUCUUGAGUGCAGGUGAGGUAGGCGGAAUGCGUGGUGUAGCGGUGAAAUGCAUAGAUAUCACGAAGAACUCCGAUUGCGAAGGCAGCUUAC